RNAcentral lists this long non-coding RNA (1421 nucleotides) under Homo sapiens (human). RNAcentral describes it as "HSALNT0133853". Lineage: Eukaryota; Metazoa; Chordata; Mammalia; Primates; Hominidae. The record is from RNAcentral.
UGGAUAAGAAAGGCAUUGUAUUUGCUGUUGGCACCUCGCCCAGAUCAUCCACCAGGCAGGUGCGUCCAUCCCUAGCUGCUGAGUGUUGACUGCCAAGUCCUCACAGUGACCCCUUUUCUGGGACACUGACUCUUUCUGAAUAGGACUGGACUCAUCUGUGAGAUGGGGCGACCCUCCCUCACUGGAGCCUGUAGCCAAUGGCUGACUGACAUAGGACUACAAAAAGCUGGCAUCCUGGCCUCAAGGUGAUACUCCAGCUGAGGCCACCUCCUUGUUCAGCUCGUCCCCUGCUCCAUUCUUCUUCCCUCCUUUUCUCCUGAGAUCACUUUCUUAAUCAGCCACCUGCAGAAGAACCCCCAUCUCAGGUUCCACUUUUAGGGAGCUCAACUUCAGACAGGAUUGGGUAAGAAAUUGGGGAAAAGGCAAUAUGAAUCCCAGUUUUCCUUUUGGGUAAGUGGGUGGCUGGAUGUGCUGAACACCGAGUAGAGGAGGCUUAGAAGAGGAUGAGGUUUGUGAGAGCAGAGAAGCUCAGUUUUGUUUACUGGAGAAGCAGAUGUCAUAUCCAGGAAGCAGCUGGAUACCUGCGGGUCUGCAGCCAGGAGAGAGCUCUAAAUGUUGUCACCAAACGUGACUAAAUGACAGCUGAAACCCUGAAGUUGGCGAGGAAGAAAUCAUGGAGAAAAACAGAGUGGUCUCAGGAUGAACUUGGAGGAAUGUGAGCAUUAUACACACAGCCAGGGGCUCCAAGGAUGGCCGAUGAGGAACAGUGUCUGAAGUAGUGUUUCCCAAAGAGUCACCCCUCUGGCUAUGUGCAAAUCCAUGGUUCAGACUCCAGACUGUGGAAUCAAAGUUUCUGGAGAUGAAUGUCAGUGCCACAAAUGACCACAGACCACCCCACCCCUGGUUGCUGCUGGCUUUGGAUUGGACUUUUAGUGAACAAGAAAUAAAUUUUUAUUGUCUCAAGUCAUGGAAAUCUUGGGAUUUGUCUAUUACACCAGUCAGUUUUACCUUAACAAACAUACUUGCAAUCUCCAUUAGACAUAGAGAAUAUUUGUGCUCAUUUGCAUGAUGAGAUGAUUUCUUUCCUUGUGUAAAUGGUGACCAGAUGACAACAUUUCUCACAACUGUUGAUAAUGUCAUCUGCCUUCAGUUACUAAUGGUUGUCAUUAGGGUGAAGCUAACUGUCUCAGUUCAAAUGUUACCUCUUUACAAAGGCUCUCCUGGCCUCUCUAUUCAAAGUAUUCUACAACUCACACUCCAGGUAGUUUUAUCCCAUUAAUAAUUUCAGUGGAUGUAUUAGUCUAUUUUCAUACUCCUGAUAAAGACAUAUCCAAGAAUGGGAAGAAGAAGAGGUUUAAUGGACUUACAGUUCCAUGUGGCUGGGAAAGCCUCACAAUCAUGGUGGAAGGCAAGGAGAGGAG